UACAGAGGGUGCGAGCGUUGUUCGGAAUUACUGGGCGUAAAGCGCAUGUAGGCGGCAGCGCAAGUCGGGCGUGAAAUCCCACGGCUCAACCGUGGAAGUGCACUCGAAACUGCGCAGCUAGAGUCCUGGAGAGGAAGGUGGAAUGCUUGGUGUAGAGGUGAAAUUCGUAGAUAUCAAGCGGAACACCGGUGGCGAAGGCGGCCUUCUGGACAGUGACUGACGCUGAGAUGCGAAAGCGUGGGGAGCAAACAGG
RNAcentral lists this ribosomal RNA (253 nucleotides) under uncultured bacterium. RNAcentral's name for it is "partial 16S ribosomal RNA". It matches the Rfam family "Bacterial small subunit ribosomal RNA", at positions 524 to 776 of the family's 1533-position model. The record is from RNAcentral.